Transfer RNA from Toxocara canis (dog roundworm), 53 nucleotides. It matches the Rfam family "tRNA", at positions 20 to 71 of the family's 71-position model. From Rfam's summary of the family: Transfer RNA (tRNA) molecules are approximately 80 nucleotides in length. Their secondary structure includes four short double-helical elements and three loops (D, anti-codon, and T loops). The record is from Rfam. Lineage: Eukaryota; Metazoa; Nematoda; Chromadorea; Rhabditida; Toxocaridae.
AACGCGUCGGUCUUCGGAACCGAAGAUUGCAGGUUCGAAUCCUUCCGUGGUCG